ACAUACGACCAUAUCCAUCGGAAAAUUCGGGAUCCCGUCCGCUCUCCCAGAGACAAGCCGAUGAGAGCCGGAGUAGUAGUCGGGUCGGUGACGACCGGCGAAUGCCUGGUGUUGUAUGUC
Colletotrichum gloeosporioides is the source of this 120-nucleotide non-coding RNA. Lineage: Eukaryota; Fungi; Ascomycota; Sordariomycetes; Glomerellales; Glomerellaceae. The record is from Rfam.